Molecule: ribosomal RNA, 411 nt
Filed under: Lophops sp.
Lineage: Eukaryota; Metazoa; Arthropoda; Insecta; Hemiptera; Lophopidae
Description: SSU rRNA
Rfam family: Eukaryotic small subunit ribosomal RNA
Source: RNAcentral
UUGACAGAUUGAGAGCUCUUUCUUGAUUCGGUGGGUGGUGGUGCAUGGCCGUUCUUAGUUGGUGGAGCGAUUUGUCUUGGUUAAUUCCGAUAACGAACGAGACUCUAGCCUACUAACUAGGCGUUUCCGGUAUCCACAAUCGUGCUACCGGCGUUUUAAUUUCUUCUUAGAGGGACAGGCGGCUUCUAGCGGCACGAGACUGAGCAAUAACAGGUCUGUGAUGCCCUUAGAUGUCCUGGGCCGCACGCGCGCUACACUAAAGGAAUCAGCGUGUCUCCCCUGUCCGAAAGACCGGGGUAACCCGCUGAACCUCCUUUGUGCUAGGGAUUGGGGCUUGCAAUUGUCCCCCAUGAACGAGGAAUUCCCAGUAAGCGCGAGUCAUAAGCUCGCGUUGAUUACGUCCCUGCCCUU